RNAcentral lists this long non-coding RNA (223 nucleotides) under Hordeum vulgare. Its description in RNAcentral is "long non-coding RNA (HVUL_LNC007260)". Lineage: Eukaryota; Viridiplantae; Streptophyta; Magnoliopsida; Poales; Poaceae. The record is from RNAcentral.
NNCUGGCGGCGGCGGCGCGAGCGCUCGGUGCAGACGCGAGCGGCGGCGCGAGCGGGAGGUGCAGGCGCGAGCGGCUGGAGGAGACGAGUGGAUAACGCGAUGCGAUGGGCACGGUAGGAAAAAGUCCCAAAAAGUCCCUCCCACAGGUACUUCUCCAAAUAGUCCCAAACACCCCACUUUAGUCCCUAAAAGUCCCUCCUGUUUGUUUCAUAUAGGACUUUUU